UGCUUCCUUCAGUGCGCUUCGGUGGCCAACACACGGCCACGGAUACGGUCGCAAAUCGACGAAAACCGCUGAUCACACACGAACACGGCGCACAGCAGACACACAACACACGCAGCACAACACCUCGCGCACUAGGAUUCGGGACCCGUGGUGGUAUCUGCUGCUGCUCUAGAGGCGCGUCUCGUCGCCGUGUGUAUUGCGUUGCUUAGCGAUGAUCAACAACGAACGAACGAACGGGCUACCGAGAUUUUUGUGUUCUUCGGCAAAGCUGCUGAUGAGACCAACCGCAAGGCCGCAAGGUAGAUAUGGGGCCUGAGAUGCACAACACCAUCCGCCGGAUCGGAUCGGUCUACGGCGGCAGAUGCGGCGAUAGGCACACCACGCGCACUCACUCUGGUCUCAUUCACCUUAAACAAACACGCGAAAUCUUCCUCGCUGUGCGCGCGGCUACAGUGUUCGCGGCGUGGAGCAGCAGAAGAGCGAGCGAAGGAAAUUUGGCAGAAAUGAUGAUCGCACGGCGCAACGACGACGGACCGAAACCCGUUCCUCAAUCCGUAAGCGGUGACUUCGUUCUGGCGGUCGCGCGACCGAAACCAGCUAAAAACGCCGUUCGCUGGCGAUGACGACGACGACGACGACGACGACGACGACGACGACGAUGGAUGAGGCAGGGGCGGUCGACACGGUAGAAAAAAAACCAGUCCCGUAUGUGUGGCGGACUGCCACUGCUGCACCACUACCACAAAAAAGCGGUCCGCGCACGCACUCCAAACAACGGCGAUGACACGCACACGCGCGUCUCUCUUUGCACGCACGCUUCCGACGGCAGCGACGACGGCGGCGGCACCCUUUUUGGACCAAAAAAGUGGCAAAAUGUGUUACUCGCUUCUUCCUCUUCUUCACGCCGGCCGUGUGGGGUGUACUUGGAGCAUACACACCCUGCCAAUCCCCGCUCCCCCCGCGCAAGUGACAAACACGAAAAGUGCGAUGUUUACCAUCGGUCCACGUCUCCGUAUUGGCGUGUGCGGACGCGUGUGUAUGUGUGUGUUGGUGUGCGCGCGCCUGAUGUCAAAGGCAACAACAAAACAAAGCAGUCGUCGUCGUCGUCGCCGCUGCCGCCGAUCAAUCGAGUCACCUCCCGGAGGACAACCAUCCGCACCGUCGCACCGUGGUCCGGACCUUCGCUUAUGAUACUAUUUUCCCUCGGCAAAGUCUGGUGGUAUGAUAAUCCCUCGGGUUGCUAAACAGCUCUCUGUCGACUUCUGCAUCGCCACCAAAUGUGCAACACUUCAACCGGAACCUUACAUGAAACAUUAUCAAACCAUGGCCGUAGAAGAGGCAGAAACCACCACCACCGCCAGGAAUCGUCGUGCAAAAGGCACUGCCAUGGGCGACACAAGCAUACGUGUGGCUCGUACAGGAAACGGUCUCUGCUCCUACAUUGUGCUCCUCUGCUCGAUCGUGUAAACAGAGUCCUAUAAAUAGUCCUCGGCCUAUGGAGGCGCCAGUAAAUUAUACAAUAAUUCCCACACGGGAAAACUUUGGUGAAAAUCAAACCUCUCGCCACUCCCUCCGCUACAGCUCCGAAAUAAAGCCUUUACGGAAG
Anopheles darlingi is the source of this 1606-nucleotide long non-coding RNA. RefSeq lists it as uncharacterized. The record is from RefSeq and is a predicted model, not a curated record. Lineage: Eukaryota; Metazoa; Arthropoda; Insecta; Diptera; Culicidae. The transcript is spliced from 3 exons.